RNAcentral lists this ribosomal RNA (497 nucleotides) under uncultured bacterium. Its description in RNAcentral is "partial 16S ribosomal RNA". It matches the Rfam family "Bacterial small subunit ribosomal RNA", at positions 28 to 507 of the family's 1533-position model. The record is from RNAcentral.
GAUGAACGCUGGCGGCGUGCCUAAUACAUGCAAGUCGAGCGAACAGACGAGGAGCUUGCUCCUCUGACGUUAGCGGCGGACGGGUGAGUAACACGUGGAUAACCUACCUAUAAGACUGGGAUAACUUCGGGAAACCGGAGCUAAUACCGGAUAAUAUAUUGAACCGCAUGGUUCAAUAGUGAAAGACGGUUUUGCUGUCACUUAUAGAUGGAUCCGCGCCGCAUUAGCUAGUUGGUAAGGUAACGGCUUACCAAGGCAACGAUGCGUAGCCGACCUGAGAGGGUGAUCGGCCACACUGGAAGUGAGACACGGUCCAGAGUCCUACGGGAGGCCGCAGUAGGGAAUCGUCCGCAAUGGGCGAAAGCCUGACGGAGCAACGCCGCGUGAGUGAUGAAGGUCUUCGGAUCGUAAAACUCUGUUAUGAGGGAAGAACAAAUGUGUAAGUAACUAUGCACGUCUUGACGGUACCUAAUCAGAAAGCCACGGCUAACUACGUG